UACGGAGGGUGCGAGCGUUGUCCGGAAUCACUGGGCGUAAAGGGCGCGUAGGCGGCCUGAUAAGUAGGGGGUGAAAUCCUGCGGCUUAACCGCAGGGCUGCCUUCUAAACUGUCGGGCUAGAGCACGGUAGAGGCAGAUGGAAUUCCCGGUGUAGCGGUGGAAUGCGUAGAGAUCGGGAAGAACAUCAGUGGCGAAGGCAGCUCGCUGG
Molecule: ribosomal RNA, 209 nt
Filed under: uncultured prokaryote
Description: partial 16S ribosomal RNA
Rfam family: Bacterial small subunit ribosomal RNA
Source: RNAcentral